This 253-nucleotide ribosomal RNA is filed under the name uncultured bacterium. RNAcentral describes it as "partial 16S ribosomal RNA". It matches the Rfam family "Bacterial small subunit ribosomal RNA", at positions 524 to 776 of the family's 1533-position model. The record is from RNAcentral.
UACGUAGGGCGCAAGCGUUAUCCGGAAUUAUUGGGCGAAAGAGCGUGUAGGCGGCCAUACAGGUCCGUUGUGAAAACUCGAGGCUUAACCUCGAGACGUCGAUGGAAACCGUAUGGCUAGAGUCCGGAAGAGGAGAGUGGAAUUCCUGGUGUAGCGGUGAAAGUGCGCAGAUAUCAGGAAGAACACCCGUGGCGAAGGCGGCUCUCUGGGACGGUACUGACGCUGAGACGCGAAAGCGUGGGGAGCGAACAGG